Long non-coding RNA from Protopterus annectens (West African lungfish), 6966 nucleotides. RefSeq lists it as uncharacterized. Lineage: Eukaryota; Metazoa; Chordata; Ceratodontiformes; Protopteridae. The transcript is spliced from 2 exons. The record is from RefSeq and is a predicted model, not a curated record.
AACUCUCAAUACAGCCAGCACUGAAUUCCUUCCUCAUUCCACAUCACGUCCGAACUCACUCUUCUGCCUCCAGCACGUCCUCUUCACAUGGUGAGGGGUCCUUGGCGGCAGACAGAAGUCAGACCUCAGUAAGUGGAGCUGCAGGACCCAUCUCUAAUGCUUCCUGAAAAAAACUGACCCAGCGCAGCAAGUCUGUGACACUUUCCCAUGUGCAGAUGCAUGUGGGAGGCACACCCUAAUUUAGUUUGGCUCACUGAUGCCCAGCAACCUGCAGAGAGGAACAAAUCCACAAGGAGACUUCCAUGGAUGAGCAGAUGUAUAUUUUGCUAUGCCCCAUCCUUCCUCUUUCAAGUCUCCAGAUAUUCUUCUUGCUCUUCAGUAGAUAUCGGUAUACCAUCCAAACUCCAAGUCAUCUCAUCAGUUUUGUUUUUAGAUAAUUAAGGGUUGCUGAGAGGUGAUUUGCACUGUUUAAAAUUAAAAGUGUUGGCAGCUCUCAGAACUUCAUUCCUGAAAGGGAAGUACCUGAAUAAUUUAGGCAGUUUUUUGUGAAAUCCUACUGGACGCUGCAGUGCAUUGGCGCCGUCAGAAUGACUCCAUUGAAAACGGUUAAUGCAGGAUGCUGUUAUAAUCAUUGUGAAGAUGAGAUUGACUAUGGUGCAUUUGGAAAAGAAUGAGACCAAGGCCCAAGCAUUUUUUUUUGUCAGCUGUAUCUUCUCACAUCAGAAUCUGGGCUUCCUCCUUUCCCACAGCCAACAUGGGAGGUAACUGCUUGGAUGGCAGAGGGACCAUUUCUGUGGUUGAAGCAGUUACAGGUGCUAACAUUGCUUAAGAAAGAUUCAUUAGGUUGGUGGGAUUUUCUUUGGAGACUGGAAGUCUGCAUUGUUCGUGUUACCUCUGGGAUCCAGGAACUUCUAGGCUGCUGACCAGGCCUCAAGAAAAGACUUACAUUCAGCUUCAGCAGGGAGAAAGCCUCUCAUUUUAGACCAGGUCAUUAGCAAGAAUAUGAAAUAAAAAUAUCGGAAAAUAUUUGUUUUCAAUAGCCCAAUCAAAGAAAUAGAAAUUCUUGAUUGGGGUUAUUUACAUCCUUGUCUAAAGAUGGGUGUGGCCUGGUGCUGCAGCACAUGCGUGUCCGUUCUUGCUGCCCCUUGCCACUUUCUUUUGUUUAACUGAGUGUACAUUUUAUUAGGGAUCUAAUUUUUAUUUGUCUUAUACUGACUAGGCUGCCUUGUAAAUGCAUUCAUGUCCUGCAAGCUUGCCUUUUACUGAACUUUGAUAAAGGCAGAUUGGGAGGGAUCAUUUUAGGAUACAGUGUAAUGGACAGCAUUGCAUGUCACUGGGCUAGUUGUACCCUCCCUCCUUCCCAAAAACAAUGCACACAAGGCCCUUCCAAAAUGUAUGCAUUGCUGGCAGUAAACAGUGGCCAAGUAGUCAGCAGACAUUGCUCCUUGUUCCACGUGCAUUGUCCAGGUAGGAAGAUGGAGGACUUCUAAAAGCUUCUUUCUUUUUGUCAUAAACUUUUUAUUUAUUUAUUUUUCCUUUAAGGAAGGCCCUAGUUUUAAAAAUAGUCACCUUGGCUGCUUUUAGUGAAAAAGAACAAAUGUAUGUAGACUGAAGUUUGUUUCCAGUUCUGUUUCCAUCCUCUUACUGAAACGGUUCCUGAAGAUGCAGAACAUGUGUCAACUCUAGUGUUAUCUUGUGUUGAAGAUGACCCCCCCCCCCCAAAAAAAAAAAAUUAUUGUGGUUUACUUCACUUGUGUUUGGGUUUCCCGCUUUGUUGUAUGUGUAACAUUUCAUUUUCUGAUGUGCUCACACAUGAGUGUUUUUAACUUCCCAUCUGUAGUUUUUAAAAUGUAAUAAAAUUAAAAUAUGAGCUGUAAUCAUACAGUUAGGUCACAGAUCUGUCAAACUGAAGGUUUGUUGGGUCUGUGAGCAUAUACAUCUCACAAGCUUAAUUCCAUGUAAUAGUUUUCCCACAGGUUGUUUCAGGAUGAACAGCAACUUCAUUUCACGUUGUAGCUUUUUUACAUACCUGAGCCUUUUUAAAUUAUGGCAGGCAUAGUCUGGAAAAGGAGUGAUACAUGAUGUAUAAGUGGGAAAUGCAUGAGCCAGUUGUGCUGUUGCUGAGUAUUUGAAAGACCAUCCCAGUCUAUUGGAAUAGAAAAUACAAUCAGAACUGGAUUAGAAACUUCGCUGGGUGGUUACAGCUGUUGAAAGCUUUUCUCCGUUCUUUUUUUUUUUUUCCUGAUAUUUUGUAUACGUAUGUGUAUUUUUCUGUUGAUUACAGAAAGCCCUUCAGUUGUAUAAUGUAUGUAGUGAUUGUCCUAAGUGACUGCGUGGGCUGCACUGCAUUAGGUGCUGGCUUACACUUUUAAUUUUUACCUUUUAUGGAGGAUAUGUCCCUUAUUGAUGUAUUUAAUAAGUGUGAAGUAGAGCUUGCUCUGUUUUAAAAUAUUGUAAUAUCCAGCAAAGCCAACUAUCCCCAUACAUUCCCCAGAUUUGAAUCCAACAAAGUCCCUUGUUUAAAUUACUCCAUUAAAGUAUUUAUAUGUUGUUCUUGCUGUCAAAUGUCCUAGUCCUCUAACUACAUAAAAUAAUUCUGGAAUCACAAAUUGAGGCUUCUGAUUUUCAGUACAAGAAAAGAGAGAGAAGAUUGAGUAAAACUUUAAUUUUCCCAGGAAAUAACAACAUAUUGGCUUAAAGAUGUGCUGUUUUUAAGAUUUCUUGCCCCCACAGCCUAUAGGUUUCUGUCAUUUUCCUUGAAGACAAGUUUGUCCAGAAUUGUUUAAGGUUGUGCAUGCUUAUAAAUCCAUUGUCUUUGCUGGUUCAGAUCCAGUACUUUCUGGAAAGUAUACAUUUUAAUCCCAUUGAGUUUUACCCAUCUAAAUAUUUCCACUAUGUCUUUUCAGAAGAUGUGCUUAAGCCUCUGAGUGGUCUUUCUUGCCUUUACACACACUGACAGAUGUCUGCUCUUUCUGAAAAUUGGCCAUUGUACAGGACAUUGUACAUAAGUUUGUCCAUUUCUUUGUACUGCAUCUUUGUUCAUUGUACAUUGUAACCUCUGUUGAUGUGGCAUUUGCCCCUUUCUGGGUCACCUGUCAUGUUUUAAAAGAUGCUGACUUUUUUUUUUUUUUUUAAAAGAAAUUGUUGGGUCAUUCCCUAAGUAAAUUGUUCUACAUCACAGUCAUAGAGAACGUGCCAGAACACCCAUUUAGUGAAGGGGAGGAGUCUGAAUGUUUGAUAAGUGCUCACUGACUGAAAGGUAGUUUCAUGCGUUAUAUUUUAGUUUCAAGCUGUACGCUGCUUUUUUUCUGAAAGCAUUUACACAAAUGUGAAUUUGUAUGCUGUCAGGAAAUACAGGUUCUUCUGUUAAUGGUUGAGAGGUGCAGAGAGCCAAAGCCAGUUGCCAGGAGUUACUCAAAGGUAAAGUGAUUUGCUUAAUUUCAUGUAUAGGGUUAGAAGUCCUGAAUUUCAGGUAUGUCUGGGUAUUUUAAUAUCCGCUGUUGACGUUGAGAGGUAAUGGACGUUGCAGGUAUUGUGCAAAAACGGAUGAGACAUUUCAAGAAAUGUGCAAGUUGCCGGACAAGAUAAAAAAAAAACUGUGUAUGGCACGUAACAGAUUUAAUAUUUUCACCAAAAAAAAGUUAUUGCAGUUGGUAACUUGCUUGCCUCUCCCUGUUCCGUUGCUUUGCUGAUGAAAUCCAGAACCCUUCCACUGAAACUCAGAGGAAAUAGAAAAGCCUUGUGUUUGAGUAUGGAUGCAGUUUCUAGUCAUCUGAGCACAGAUAUGUCACUUUAUGAUUAAAGGUUGUUUAAAUGUGUUUUACUGAAUAUGUUUAAGCCUUUACAUUUCAUUAAGUAGUAGUCUGAUGAUUUACAUAUUUUCAUAGAGGUCUAAGAAAUCAUGACCAUCUCAGAAUUGUUUGAUGGCUGCAUUGUUACCAGAUUCAGCUGGCUUUGCAUGCAAUACUUUACAAAACUGAAUAACUGCAGUUUUUAAGAUUAGGUAAAACAAGCACCAUUAUUUUAGAAAUAUUUAGGUGUCUGCUUAACAGAGAAAUUGAGAACUGUACAUUUUAAUUUAAUCUUAAAAAGGUGGUAGUGUCAGAAGUGCGAAUGGUUUGUUUGUCAUUGUAGCUCAUAGAAUAGAUGUGCACAUCUGCUUCUAUAUUCUGUCAUGUAACAUGGGUAUAUGUAAAGACCAAUACUCAGGAAGAUGAUAGUGUUCUACUACUACCUCAUCUCCUGUGGCCUUCUGCCCUAAUGUAUUUUGGUCCAUGAGCAAGUAAAACAGAUUGAGACAUUUUCCAGAGAGAAUGCUGUUUUCACCUACCAACUGUUGCUGCUAGGUAGAAAAAUAUCCUUAUGAAUAAAAAGGAUUAUGCAUGGAGAAAUGGUGACUACUACUAGACAUUUGAGCUCCCAACCAUGUAGAGAAUACCUAUACUGACCUGAUCCUUAAAUGUAUGGAGUGUGACCACGUGGUAAGGUUUUGUUUUCAUAGUGCUGUGUAAAUCUGUUCUGCUUAAUCCACUUGUAUUUUUUUUUUUGUAGACCAUUUUAAAUGCAAACAGUCUAGGUACUCGCAGAAUUGCAAACGUUAUCACUUUUUUCCUCUCAUCUUAACUGGGUGCAUCUGAAUCCUUUGUAUUGCUUCACUUUCGGGUGUGGUGUUGGUUAAGUGUGUCUUGAUUACAGUACACAGUAUGUUGAAGGAACUGUAGCAAGGUGUCCGAGUUUCCAUGCAGCCACCUUUCAGUCUAGCACAUUUGUCCAGACUUGAGGGUAAAGGAGAACUGUUGGUGAAGAUUACAUUCCCACAGCAUAAUAGGAGAUAAUGUAUGCAGUGCAUUAAUCACCUGUGCAGUUUCAUUCUUCUUUGUAAACAGUUAUCUUUUUAAAGUAAAUGUUGGGCUAUUUCUGCUGGUCUAACCUUGAUGAGGUUUAGUGGCACUGGACUGACAUUUGUUUUAAUAUGCUAAAAUUAAUACACUGAAGACAUUAGCUCAAAAUUGUCUACAUUUAAAAAUAUGCAUUUGUAAAGCAGUGUAUAUAUAAAAUGUGCUGCCUGUUUUCAGUGUGGACAUUGAAAGGAUACAGCCUAGCUUAUGAACCGCCAGAAACAGUAUAGGUAAUUGUGUACAUGUUAACUUUAGUAGUCCUUCAAUUGAAAAACUUUUGUGGUAUUCUGGGACCUGCAGAGCAAAACAUGAGGAAUCAGUUACCAAGGAAACCUCAGUAUGUAAUAACUGCUUUGUCUACAUGUGUAUCUACACAUUUUGUAUGUAUAGCUAAAUGUAUAGGCACAGUUUUUACGGGAAUAAAUGUUUUAAGUGGUAAAAUGAAAAAAAAUUACUUCAGCUUUGCACCAUUACAUCCUUCCUCAGCACUGUAGCCAGGUACCCAUACAUGUAUAUUGGGGUUCAUUAUUGUACUUCCCAAGUUGAUUUGCUCAGACACAUAACAUCCAGUAUGUACCCAGGCAGCAGUGUUGUUUAUAUAAUGGAAGUUGUAUUCCACCAACAUUGAAUUUGGUGUUCAUGUCUUCUUUCUUAAUAUUUUGCAUUCAGUUUACUAAUCCAAGACAAGAGGUUCAUGGUUUGCUUGUCUCAAUGCUUCAGUUCCAUAAAUAUGUAUGGAUGGCUUUUCUGUUCCAGUGGUGAUGCAGAGUACUGUACAGCCACUGCACAAAUCUGCAGGUAUUAUUUACUAAGUCUCAGUGCUGUUUGCAUUCAUAUCUGUUUUGUCAUAGCAAACCACCCAAGUCUAACGUAAAAUGCCAUUAGAGAGGCAGAGUAAUUGGUAUGCCACCAUGUAUUGAGAAAACUACAGACAAAGCAUUGUCAGCAGUAGCAGAUUCUCACUAUUGCUUCAAGUGACUAGGAGAAUUUUCACUUGCUGCUACCUCAUUUAAAUUAUUUAAAUGUUUGCAUAAUGUAUUUUUAUGUAUUUUGAGGCUUUCCUUUGACAUUGCUUUGUAGUGAUUGUCUCAAGAGGUACUGUAUUGAAGACAGUGUUAAAGUUGUGUAUAUUGGGUGGUUGUGUGAUGAAUGGAAGACAAACUGUUGUAAAAAGCUUCAGGGGGUGUGAAAUUCUUUGGCAAGAGCUAUUCAUAACUUGUGUCCUGUUGAGUCACUAUGAGGAUGGAAAUUAGUUCUACUUUAUAUUCUGUAAUAAGAUUUCCCCUGUCCUUAACCAUAUGUGGUUCAGAGAAAUUAUGUUUUUCAUUUCUGUUACACAUCUGUGUUCCUUUGGCAGAAAUAAACUUGAACUAAAUUUGAGGGGGAGGAGUGCAGUACUGAAGUACUAUGGUUUUGCUGUAUAUUAAAUCACAUUGUAUAUAGUGUGUUAAAUGCUGCUCCUCUCCCCUCAGCUGGAUGACAGGUGGGAUGAUGUCGCAGACUAGUUUGUUGCAACCUUCUCCUAACUCAGCAGGGAGACAUUGCACUGUUGGUGUCCUCAGUGGGGUAAAUAGUACAUUUGCACCUUGUCUUGCACAGAAGAUAAAGGUAUGUGGUCAUAGUGCUCAUCGUAUGAGCACCUUCGAGGCUGCUUGUGUGAAUUUUAAUGUACAGUCAGUCCCUCAAGUCCCAUGUCCCUGUUUAAGAUGUUAUUUUUCUGCUGUUAUUACUUUUAAAUGUUUUAUUUCUUUAAAGAGAACAUAGGUUACCUGUAAAUAUUCUUUUUUUUUUCAUGCUAGCGAUUGAUUUCUGAUCACAUUCAGCUAAAAUGUUUGAAAAUUUUGUGUAAAUAUUUUUCUUAAUACUUCAGCAUUUCUGUCUUCUUCCCAUUGGUCUCUGCCUGUUUCACUGUUUCAUCACUGUGUAAAUUUGCACAUAGUUCUUUGCUGUCAGGGGUCAGUAGCCAGACCUCACCAUAUUGUCCUUGAUUACCCAUAUUGUGUAUUUGUUCUUUAGGUUCCGAUCCUGUAUAGUACAUCAACCCAAUAAAUUAUCAGCAUGAAAGUGA